GCUGCCUUCUUCAUGAUGCAGCAACAUCAGUGACCAGGGUGCUACUAAUAAGUGCCCUGUCACAGUGAACGGUCUAUACUACAAAGAAAUUAAUCCUAUUUUUGACUGGCUGCCAUUGAUCUGAAUAAAUGCUGCACGAUGAUGCAAGGACUGUGGAGCAGCAAUGGACUACACUGAAAACAGGACUUUCAAACUCUUGGCUCUGUAGCCGCAAGGUCCAGGUAUUAGUUCCAGAUUGCAGAUGGGGGAAACUGCGAUACAGACCCUCAUCCUGCAAAGAGCCCUGCAUGGACAGCCUCAGUGUCUGCCCAGAGCUGCAUUGACUUCAGUGAGGCGUCACAUGGGUGCAGGAGUCUAUUGCAGGAUAGACUGGGGCCUUAGUUUCUGUUGCUUCGCAGAUCAGUAUUUCUCAGCUUGCAUAGUGAGAGGAGAGAUCAGUCUGUCCUUUGUUGUCCUAUUAAAAUAAACGAGACAGUACAUUGUUAAAAAACUGGCCUUUUAUUGAUGCCGGGCCCCAGCCCACUGAAUCAUUGCUAAUCUUUCUCAAUUGCCAAGCUGCGGAACUC
Molecule: long non-coding RNA, 566 nt
Organism: Chelonia mydas (Green sea turtle)
Lineage: Eukaryota; Metazoa; Chordata; Testudines; Cheloniidae
Exons: 4
Source: RefSeq, a predicted model, not a curated record